Molecule: ribosomal RNA, 469 nt
Filed under: uncultured bacterium
Lineage: Bacteria
Description: partial 16S ribosomal RNA
Rfam family: Bacterial small subunit ribosomal RNA
Source: RNAcentral
GACGAACGCUGGCGGCGUGCUUAACACAUGCAAGUCGAACGGAAAGGCCCUGCUUUUGUGGGGUGCUCGAGUGGCGAACGGGUGAGUAACACGUGAGUAACCUGCCCUUGACUUUGGGAUAACUUCAGGAAACUGGGGCUAAUACCGGAUAGGAGCUCCUGCUGCAUGGUGGGGGUUGGAAAGUUUCGGCGGUUGGGGAUGGACUCGCGGCUUAUCAGCUUGUUGGUGGGGUAGUGGCUUACCAAGGCUUUGACGGGUAGCCGGCCUGAGAGGGUGACCGGCCACAUUGGGACUGAGAUACGGCCCAGACUCCUACGGGAGGCAGCAGUGGGGAAGAUUGCACAAGGGGCGGAAGCCUGAUGCAGCAACGCCGCGUGCGGGAUGACGGCCUUCGGGUUGUAAACCGCUUUCGCCUGUGACGAAGCGUGAGUGACGGUAAUGGGUAAAGAAGCACCGGCUAACUACGUGC